AUACACACACCGUUUUGUAUUGCAAUAGGCGAAGACGCAAAUUGAUUUUAAAGCAAGUGUGUGUAUGUGUAUACGCAACUAGACACAG
Molecule: non-coding RNA, 88 nt
Organism: Caenorhabditis elegans
Lineage: Eukaryota; Metazoa; Nematoda; Chromadorea; Rhabditida; Rhabditidae
Source: Ensembl